AGAGGAUCCUGGAGGCCAAUGAGUAUGGAGAGAAGUAUGCAAGCACAGGACACAGACCCACUCCUGUUGUAUAUAAUUAUGUGAGCAGAUGGGAGAGGCUAAUGACUUUUAAUCCCAAGUGCAUUAAAGAAGAUUAAAGACGCCUACAGACCUAAGGAUCUGUGUUGAAGAUUUUAUAUGCAAUACCAUUCUCGUUUGUUCAUGUUUGCUGUCGUGAUUUCUUGAGUCUGUAAGGCAGACUGUGUGCAUGUUUGCAAGUCUAGGUGGCACACCACCAUCUGAAUUUCUGAACCAUGUUGCGGAUCUCUAGUGCCAAAUCCUACAAGGUUUUGGUUUUCUAUUUAUAGGAGCCUAGAAACCACUCUAGCCUUUGGAGUCACAGCUUCGCGGCAGUUUCAGCGUCUGCUACUUAUUAAGUGUUGAUGGACCAUCUGGGGCUUUCAGAGUCUUAUGUGACAUCUUCUUCAACUUACCUUGGAAUCUUAGACUUCACUGAGAUCUAUGCAUAAGUCAUUAUGGAAUGGAAAGGAAAAUGGCCACGUUUGAUUACUUUUGGUUUAGAAUCAGGAAAGCUGAAGUUAUACAGGAAGGCCAACUGAGAUCAAAAAGAAACUGUCUCUACCUGGUGCGCCCACAUAGCAAUUCUGUCCAGCCCAAGAGUCUGGGACAUGCCAGAACAUUUUCUUCUUUAUAGUCUGUGGGAGGCACUGACAAGAACAGUUGAUACAGAUUUGCCUCCAUUUGAGACUCAGAAUUUUGCAGCUGUUUUCUCAAUGCAGGAAGAGGUCAUUAUUAGAAUGAAGUGAAGAAAGGAAGGCAUGAAGGGGAAAUGGGACUGUUUACGGAGCACAUCUACACAAAGGAGACAGGGGGAAGUGCUGUGCUCUUCAGUGUCUUUGUAGCAUAAAUCACUGAGGCAGAGGAAUUUUUGACAGCUUUCCCUAAGUGCUCGCUUCAAGGGUGAGACCAAAUCUUCCACAGAGGCCAAGGAUGAGAGUGAAAAAGAAGGGAUCCCAGAUGACUUCUAACACUCUUAAAGCAACUCGAAGACUCCAAGAAUUAAGGCACUGAAGACCGGGAAGCCACUGUUAGUGACAUCAUUUUGCAAGGAGUAGGAGGCGCUUCUUACUGGAGAAGGCACGUCACCAGGGUAUUCUUUGAAGUUUCAAAAGCCCAUACCAGGCCCAGUCUAUCUCUGCCUCCUGUCUGCUGAUCAGGAUGAGGCUCUCCUGCCUCCAUGCCGCUGUGCUUCCCAGCGUGAUGAGCAAAGAAAAACCUUCUGAGAUUGUAAGCAAGCCACCAAUUAAAUGUUUUCUUUUAUGAGUACCUUGGCCAUGGUGUCUUUUCACAGCAACAGAACAGUAACCAACACACAAUCCAAAGGGAUCCUUCAGAUGUUAACAUAAAUAAUAUAGGACAGAGACAAAAGGCCAUCCGGAAAUGUUUACCUCCAAGACUUUCUCUACCAGGCUCAACUGAAAUCGUUCAUUCAGAGUGGGUCAAGGUUUUAUUCAAAUACUUAUUGUCCAUUGUAUUGAGUUUUUAACCCAAACACUUAUAUAUAUGUAUGUGUGUGUGUGUGUGUGUGUGUGUGUGUGUGUGUGUGUGUGUGUGUGUGUAUACCUCUUACAUGAUUUAAGAGGCCAACAUAAAUUUCCUGGUGGAAAAUAAAUUGCUCAUUUCUAAGAUUUGUUAAUGUAAUUUGUGACUGUAUUCCUUCCAUAGGUUCACAUGAUUUUCUGGCCUCUUGGAAGCAUGAUUCUCCCCCCAAAAUGAGUUACUUGGUUAUAUGAAUGCUGUAUAAAAAUAAAUGCAAAAAAGUGGGCUUAAGAAGUUGGAUAGCAUACAGGCCCAUCUUUACCUUGCGGGUAAUAAGCUGAGAAUGAAAGUGAUCCCAGGAUCCUUUGAGAAUAAAAACCAUCAUUGAGAAACUUCUAUUUGUCACUGUAGUAGGUUGUCCAAACCUUAUCAGUUGUUCAUCUACCCAGAGUUCAAUGCUGAGGCUUUUCCAUGUGUGAUGGUUUGCAUAUGCUUGGCCAAGGGAGUGGCACUAUUAGAAGGUGUGGCCUUUUGGAUGA
Molecule: small RNA, 2078 nt
Filed under: Rattus norvegicus (Norway rat)
Lineage: Eukaryota; Metazoa; Chordata; Mammalia; Rodentia; Muridae
Description: uncharacterized LOC102546842
Source: RNAcentral